Molecule: ribosomal RNA, 656 nt
Filed under: uncultured bacterium
Lineage: Bacteria
Description: bacterial SSU rRNA
Rfam family: Bacterial small subunit ribosomal RNA
Source: RNAcentral
GGGAUAACCGAGGGAAACUUCGGCUAAUACCGCAUGCGCCCGCGGAGUUGAUCCGCGGGGAAAGAUUUAUCGCAGCAGGAGGGGCCCGCGUCGGAUUAGCUGGUUGGCGGGGUAACGGCCCACCAAGGCGAUGAUCCGUAGCUGGUCUGAGAGGAUGAUCAGCCACACUGGGACCGAGACACGGCCCAGACUCCUACGGGAGGCAGCAGUGGGGAAUAUUGGACAAUGGGGGCAACCCUGAUCCAGCAAUGCCGCGUGAGUGAUGAAGGCCUUCGGGUUGUAAAGCUCUUUCGCCCGCGACGAUGAUGACGGUAGCGGGAGAAGAAGCCCCGGCUAACUUCGUGCCAGCAGCCGCGGUAAUACGAAGGGGGCGAGCGUUGUUCGGAAUCACUGGGCGUAAAGGGCGCGUAGGCGGCCCUCUUUUGUCGCGUGUGAAAGCCCCGGGCUCAACCUGGGAACGGCGCGCGAAACGGGGGGGCUGGAGUUCGGGAGAGGAGAGUGGAAUUCCCAGUGUAGAGGUGAAAUUCGUAGAUAUUGGGAAGAACACCGGUGGCGAAGGCGGCUCUCUGGACCGAGACUGACGCUGAGGCGCGAAGCGUGGGGAGCAAACAGGAUUAGAUACCCUGGUAGUCCACGCCGUAACGAUGUGUGCUAGA